This 1423-nucleotide ribosomal RNA is filed under the name Limosilactobacillus fermentum. RNAcentral describes it as "bacterial SSU rRNA". It matches the Rfam family "Bacterial small subunit ribosomal RNA". The record is from RNAcentral. Lineage: Bacteria; Bacillati; Bacillota; Bacilli; Lactobacillales; Lactobacillaceae.
GUCGAACGCGUUGGCCCAAUUGAUUGAUGGUGCUUGCACCUGAUUGAUUUUGGUCGCCAACGAGUGGCGGACGGGUGAGUAACACGUAGGUAACCUGCCCAGAAGCGGGGGACAACAUUUGGAAACAGAUGCUAAUACCGCAUAACAGCGUUGUUCGCAUGAACAACGCUUAAAAGAUGGCUUCUCGCUAUCACUUCUGGAUGGACCUGCGGUGCAUUAGCUUGUUGGUGGGGUAACGGCCUACCAAGGCGAUGAUGCAUAGCCGAGUUGAGAGACUGAUCGGCCACAAUGGGACUGAGACACGGCCCAUACUCCUACGGGAGGCAGCAGUAGGGAAUCUUCCACAAUGGGCGCAAGCCUGAUGGAGCAACACCGCGUGAGUGAAGAAGGGUUUCGGCUCGUAAAGCUCUGUUGUUAAAGAAGAACACGUAUGAGAGUAACUGUUCAUACGUUGACGGUAUUUAACCAGAAAGUCACGGCUAACUACGUGCCAGCAGCCGCGGUAAUACGUAGGUGGCAAGCGUUAUCCGGAUUUAUUGGGCGUAAAGAGAGUGCAGGCGGUUUUCUAAGUCUGAUGUGAAAGCCUUCGGCUUAACCGGAGAAGUGCAUCGGAAACUGGAUAACUUGAGUGCAGAAGAGGGUAGUGGAACUCCAUGUGUAGCGGUGGAAUGCGUAGAUAUAUGGAAGAACACCAGUGGCGAAGGCGGCUACCUGGUCUGCAACUGACGCUGAGACUCGAAAGCAUGGGUAGCGAACAGGAUUAGAUACCCUGGUAGUCCAUGCCGUAAACGAUGAGUGCUAGGUGUUGGAGGGUUUCCGCCCUUCAGUGCCGGAGCUAACGCAUUAAGCACUCCGCCUGGGGAGUACGACCGCAAGGUUGAAACUCAAAGGAAUUGACGGGGGCCCGCACAAGCGGUGGAGCAUGUGGUUUAAUUCGAAGCUACGCGAAGAACCUUACCAGGUCUUGACAUCUUGCGCCAACCCUAGAGAUAGGGCGUUUCCUUCGGGAACGCAAUGACAGGUGGUGCAUGGUCGUCGUCAGCUCGUGUCGUGAGAUGUUGGGUUAAGUCCCGCAACGAGCGCAACCCUUGUUACUAGUUGCCAGCAUUAAGUUGGGCACUCUAGUGAGACUGCCGGUGACAAACCGGAGGAAGGUGGGGACGACGUCAGAUCAUCAUGCCCCUUAUGACCUGGGCUACACACGUGCUACAAUGGACGGUACAACGAGUCGCGAACUCGCGAGGGCAAGCAAAUCUCUUAAAACCGUUCUCAGUUCGGACUGCAGGCUGCAACUCGCCUGCACGAAGUCGGAAUCGCUAGUAAUCGCGGAUCAGCAUGCCGCGGUGAAUACGUUCCCGGGCCUUGUACACACCGCCCGUCACACCAUGAGAGUUUGUAACACCCAAAGUCGGUGGGGUAACCU